This 497-nucleotide ribosomal RNA is filed under the name uncultured bacterium. RNAcentral describes it as "partial 16S ribosomal RNA". It matches the Rfam family "Bacterial small subunit ribosomal RNA", at positions 28 to 507 of the family's 1533-position model. The record is from RNAcentral.
GACGAACGCUGGCGGCGUGCCUAAUACAUGCAAGUAGAACGCUGAAGAGAGGAGCUUGCUCUUCUUGGAUGAGUUGCGAACGGGUGAGUAACGCGUAGGUAACCUGCCUUGUAGCGGGGGACAACUAUUGGAAACGAUAGCUAAUACCGCAUAACAAUGGAUGACACAUGUCAUUUAUUUGAAAGGGGCAAUUGCUCCACUACAAGAUGGACCUGCGUUGUAUUAGCUAGUAGGUGAGGUAAUGGCUCACCUAGGCGACGAUACAUAGCCGACCUGAGAGGGUGAUCGGCCACACUGGGACUGAGACACGGCCCAGACUCCUACGGGAGGCAGCAGUAGGGAAUCUUCGGCAAUGGGGGCAACCCUGACCGAGCAACGCCGCGUGAGUGAAGAAGGUUUUCGGAUCGUAAAGCUCUGUUGUAAGUCAAGAACGGGUGUGAGAGUGGAAAGUUCACACUGUGACGGUAGCUUACCAGAAAGGGACGGCUAACUACGUG